UACCCAUGGUGAGGACACAUACUCAACAACUCUUUAAACCUCUCCCACGCCUGAUACAGAGUUUCACUGUCUUUUUGUGCAAAUGUGGAUAUUUGUCUUUUUAAAGCA
Molecule: small nucleolar RNA, 108 nt
Organism: Juglans microcarpa x Juglans regia
Lineage: Eukaryota; Viridiplantae; Streptophyta; Magnoliopsida; Fagales; Juglandaceae
Source: RefSeq, a predicted model, not a curated record